Schizosaccharomyces pombe (fission yeast) is the source of this 1283-nucleotide non-coding RNA. The record is from the annotation of a GenBank genome assembly. NCBI's taxonomy places the organism in Eukaryota, Fungi, Ascomycota, Schizosaccharomycetes, Schizosaccharomycetales, Schizosaccharomycetaceae.
UGCUGAUGUAAUUUAUAUUUAAAGUAAUGAUAAUAGUAGGAUUUGGAAAUUUAUAUACCUUUUACGAAAGACAAUAAUGUAUCAAAAUCUUAUUAUAGAAAAAGAUUCACCCAUGUAUUAAUCAGAAAAGUCAUUAAAAAAAAUUUGCAGAUCAAAAAGGAAUUUAAACUGUAAAACUAGGGACAUAAUCACGAAAAAAAUCAUUAAAAGUAGCAAACGACUGAAGAAAAAAAAAUUUGAAAGAUUGGAAUUCAACUUCCUAGCAUAACAAACUUAAACACCUCUCUUGUACACAGACGGUAAAAUCAGCUUUUUACCCUGAGACCAAAGGCUCAACUUUUUCUUUUUGGCAACUAUUUCUAAAGCUAAAAGACAUUCUUUUUUAGUUGGACAAAAUACACCAUCACUGCCCUCAUAAACCACAGCCAAACCUUUACGAAUCAUCUGGGGACCAAUGUCUUUCUUCCAAAAGAAAUGGGGAAUUGGAUAAUACUGGACUCCUGCAACAAGUCUAGCGUAGCGGUCAAUUUUUAGGGGAAUGAUCCUAACGCUUUUAUGAUAAAGUUUAUUAUGCAAGAACUCUUUGGCUUCUAAGGCAUAAGGUUGCUCCUGUUUACCAAAAUGCGCAGAUUCUGGGGCAUCAAUUCCUGCGAGACGCACAGAAAUGGUUUCAUUCGAUAAAUCAGAUCUACUGCAUGGCACUUUUCUUAACCAGUGCCAUCCUAACAAACGACCUCCCGGAGUAUGAUAAAAACGAAAGUUGUCACCGUCACCUACUCUAGUUACAUAUCCGAACAUAGUUUUGUAUUUCCGAUUUUCGACUGUCGAGUUGUUAAGAUAAUUCUUGGGAAUAGUACUAGCAUUAGAUAUUCUACGAAACCGUCUUAGAAAAAAGAAACCACCAAUUGAGGUAGUAAUGAGACCAGUUCCGAUUAUGGCUUUUUCCUUGUAUUGAGACUCUUGCAUGAUUGUAUGUUAUCACUUUUCACAACUUUAUUUCCUCAAUCUGUAUCGCAUUUGCAUCCAAAUGCUAGGAUUUUGAAAAUUAGAGAUAAUUCUUCAAAAAACCUUACCUAGAAAGAUGGAAUGAAUUGUGGAAGGUAUAACACAUAAAAAAACUAUUCCGUUUUAAAAGCAUCCAAAGAAGUUUAGUAUCAUGAAAGAAAUUCAACUAGUGUAGUUCAAAUUUGGGUGGGAGCGGUUUUCGAAAAGGACAGAGAAGUAAUUUACGUUAUUAAAAAUUAAAUUCAAGCAAUUAGUUUAUUUACUAAUUAAGAUAGCAC